RNAcentral lists this transfer RNA (68 nucleotides) under Cavia porcellus (domestic guinea pig). It matches the Rfam family "tRNA". Rfam says of the family: Transfer RNA (tRNA) molecules are approximately 80 nucleotides in length. Their secondary structure includes four short double-helical elements and three loops (D, anti-codon, and T loops). The record is from Rfam by way of RNAcentral. Lineage: Eukaryota; Metazoa; Chordata; Mammalia; Rodentia; Caviidae.
GGUUAUAGCUCAGUGGCAUAAGCGCCUGCCUGACAAGCACAAGGUCCUGAGUUCAAUUCUCAGUACCA